Molecule: ribosomal RNA, 294 nt
Filed under: uncultured bacterium
Lineage: Bacteria
Description: partial 16S ribosomal RNA
Rfam family: Bacterial small subunit ribosomal RNA
Source: RNAcentral
GUGCUUAACACAUGCAAGUCGAGUGCGCGUCUGUAGCAAUACAGAUGGCGCACGGCGCACGGGUGCGUAACACGUGGGCAAUCUGCCCUCGGAUGGGGGAUAACCCCGCGAAAGCGGGGCUAAUACCGCAUGACAUUCCGGAGACCUCGGUCUUUGGACUCAAAGCCCGCAAGGGCGUCUGAGGAGGAGCCCGCGCCCGAUUAGCUAGUUGGUGAGGUAACGGCUCACCAAGGCUUUGAUCGGUAGCCGGUCUGAGAGGAUGGCCGGCCACACUGGAACUGAGACACGGUCCAG